Molecule: ribosomal RNA, 495 nt
Filed under: uncultured bacterium
Lineage: Bacteria
Description: partial 16S ribosomal RNA
Rfam family: Bacterial small subunit ribosomal RNA
Source: RNAcentral
GACGAACGCUGGCGGCGUGCCUAAUACAUGCAAGUCGAACGCUGAAGGAGGAGCUUGCUCUUCUGGAUGAGUUGCGAACGGGUGAGUAACGCGUAGGUAACCUGCCUGGUAGCGGGGGAUAACUAUUGGAAACGAUAGCUAAUACCGCAUAACAGUAGAUGUUGCAUGACAUUUACUUAAAAGGUGCAAUUGCAUCACUACCAGAUGGACCUGCGUUGUAUUAGCUAGUUGGUGGGGUAACGGCUCACCAAGGCGACGAUACAUAGCCGACCUGAGAGGGUGAGCGGCCACACUGGGACUGAGACACGGCCCAGACUCCUACGGGAGGCAGCAGUAGGGAAUCUUCGGCAAUGGACGGAAGUCUGACCGAGCAACGCCGCGUGAGUGAAGAAGGUUUUCGGAUCGUAAAGCUCUGUUGUAAGAGAAGAACGAGUGUGAGAGUGGAAAGUUCACACUGUGACGGUAUCUUACCAGAAAGGGACGGCUAACUACGUG